GCCACUUUACAUAAACACAGAAGGUCAGAGGUAAAGGAAGUCUGAACUAUCAGUUUGUGAACGUGAUUUCCUCAGUGCCACGUUUAAUGCAUAUUAAUCGGCUUUUCAAUCCAAGAAUCCAUGACAAUCUAAGCGACGAGCUCUGCACCUCUUCAUUCUCACUUCGCUGAAACGCUUCACCAAAAAUCUCAGUGCCGCCGCUACGUCCUCCUACUCCAGAAGAGAGAAGUGAAAGAUUACUGCGUGGGGCUCAUUAAGAAUGUUUUAUUUUGUCUGCAAUUUUUUUCCCCUCAUCUAUUGUCUCUCCACCCUCUCAGCGAAAGUCUCGACGGAGUCACAGCCUUGGGUGCAUCGGAGCGAUGAGACAAAUGCAGAAAAUGAACUGGAAGAAAACAGGGAGGCGAAAAAAAUGCGCGGCUGGACGACGAUGGCCGAAAACUCAAAGGAGAAAUGGUUACACUGCAUCGCCAGCUUGCCUCAUCUAAAUCCCUGACUCCUGACCUCCCCUGAGGAAGGUGCUCACUGUCAGAAGAACCCCCGGCAUCCUACCGCCACAGAAAGGUGAUUCCUUUAAAGCACCAGAAACGGAUGAAGGAGCGAGAGGGGGCUGCGCGAGGCAGGCAGACGGGGAGGGGAGCUGUCGUUUGUGUCAGGUUAACCUCAGAGACACAUCCGGAGCUCAGCAUCUGGGAGACGGAGGGGAGAGAGAGAGAGGCACCGCCGCUCCAUUUGGCGCAAUUUCACCACGGCAGCAACAGAUAGCAACAAAAGUCCCGUUGAGGUCUUUAAGGUAACCAAUUAUAAUGUUUUGAAAUUAUAUUUCUUAAUAUAUAUUUUAAAAUGUAUUAUAUGCACGUUUCUUUUAUUAAAAAGGUCCUGUACCAUUUAAAUAGCCUUCUGUGUAAGAGAAAAAUAAAAGCAUUUUUUGCAUUACUUGUUGACUGUGUGGACAUACGCAUAUGUCUCUUUCUCUUUUAAUAACAAGACUUAAAUGCAUUAGAUUUAUUUUGCGGUGUUUUUACCCUUGAUCACAAACCUCGUGAUUUGUGUGGAAAUGCAACGAAUCUCCCAGGUUUAGAAAAAAGGGUAAAUGAUUACAUAAAAAAAGAGGAAAAAAAAUAACAGAUGGGCCUGCCUAAAAAAAUAUGAUUUUCUACAAAUGAUUGCAUUCUCUCCCCUUUGGUGUGAAAAGUAGACUCAAGAACACUUUUAAAUAAUUUGUUCAAUUUGUUCCACAGCCAAAGAAAAGCGGCUUGGUGGAAAUUCAGAUUCAUUAAAACUUAAUUAAUAUGCAUCAUUAUGUAAAUGAGGUUGCAGUUAAUGAGUUCUUAAAAGAAGCCUUCCUUAAUUAGUUCACUUUUUAAUGGCAUCAUCAUUUAUCUUUUUUCUUUGAAGCAGAAUGACGAGAGGACCUCGCCGUUCCCGAAAGUGCUAAAAUUUUCCAUUUUUUAAUUAUUCUUAUUUUCUUAAUUUUUAUAUGAUUAAGAAUGCAUUUAGGGAAGUAAAUAAAUGAGAAAAACUUAGACCUUUUUUUCCAGACUCACUUAUUGCCAUUAAAACAGAGUCUCUGUAGAUACCGGAGUGUUUAAAAAGUUAAAGGGAAAGCAUCUUCUUACAAAACAAUCAAGGCUGUCUCACAAUUACCUCCUUGGCUUCUGCGAGUAGCUUCAUUUCUACUAAAUCUGAGCAGCCUCUUAAUUGCUCUCUCCAGUUGGGCUGCAGUAUAUAUUACCACACUCCAUUACUAUUUAUGGAGCCUGAGAUUCAUAUUGCAAAUAUGAAGAUGACUGUGGUCAUUUCCUUCUGUAUUCAUUCUCUCAUUUAUUCAUUUACAUAUUCAAUCACUCGAUUUUUUCCCUUUUAAUUAAUUAAUUAAUUUACUUACUUGGUAAACAAUUUACC
Long non-coding RNA from Carassius carassius (crucian carp), 1902 nucleotides. RefSeq lists it as uncharacterized. Lineage: Eukaryota; Metazoa; Chordata; Actinopteri; Cypriniformes; Cyprinidae. The record is from RefSeq and is a predicted model, not a curated record. The transcript has 3 exons.